GAUGAACGCUGGCGGCGUGCCUAAUACAUGCCAGUCGAGCGAACAGACGAGGAGCUUGCUCCUCUGACGUUAGCGGCGGACGGGUGAGUAACACGUGGAUAACCUACCUAUAAGACUGGGAUAACUUCGGGAAACCGGAGCUAAUACCGGAUAAUAUAUUGAACCGCAUGGUUCAAUAGUGAAAGACGGUUUUGCUGUCCCUUAUAGAUGGAUCCGCGCCGCAUUAGCUAGUUGGUAAGGUAACGGCUUACCAAGGCGACGAUGCGUAGCCGACCUGAGAGGUUGAUCGGCCACACUGGAACUGAGACACGGUCCAGACUCCUACGGGAGGCAGCAGUAGGGAAUCUUCCGCAAUGGGCGAAAGCCUGACGGAGCAACGCCGCGUGAGUGAUGAAGGUCUUCGGAUCGUAAAACUCUGUUAUUAGGGAAGAACAAAUGUGUAAGUAACUAUGCACGUCUUGACGGUACCUAAUCAGAAAGCCACGGCUAACUACGUG
Molecule: ribosomal RNA, 497 nt
Filed under: uncultured bacterium
Lineage: Bacteria
Description: partial 16S ribosomal RNA
Rfam family: Bacterial small subunit ribosomal RNA
Source: RNAcentral